UUACAGUAUGAGUUAUAAAUAUCUUACUUAAAAACUUAAAAGUGCUUAAAUAAUUCCAUAUUUGUCAUUCGAUUAUUGUAUGUUAUUUAUUUGCUAUUAGCAAAGCCUUAUUGUGAUGUUAUUGAGGUACGAGGAGAUUUAAAACCAGAUCAAGGUGCUCGACCUGAAGUCUCAAGAGUUCAAACAAGAAUCAGAGAUGAUGGAGCAAACCAUCACCACUAUGCCAGAUGUUAUAGCGGAGCUACAGUAAGAAAUACUGUAAACAAUAUAUGUUUGACCAUAUAAAUAUUAGACUUCCAUGCUUGUUUUUAUUUGUUGUCUAUUUCAGGGGUUUGUCAAACACUAUGGCGUUCAAACAUGGGACAGUCACAGUAGUGAUGGGUAAUGUGCACAGGGAUAUAGCUUCCUGUCAACAGAGGAAGUCUCAUCACGCACAGAUUCACUCAACGCCGGGCUGUCAUGAAGGACACAGAGGGUAAUCUACAUGAAGCAACUAAAAGCCAAUCUGAAGUUGGCUCAAGAGUACCGAGAGCUGCAGAAAGUUCUGAUGAUUGCCAGACAAGAAGCCGUUUGUGUUUUUGACAUAAGAAACAGAGCAGAGGCCUACAUCCAAGAUCACAAGCAGCUUUCUUUGUUGCAGAAGAGGAUGCACAAAGCCAUGCUAAAAUACUUCAAACGCCGCAGCGUCUACAGCCAGGCAGAGCUGGCCCGCUUCCAGACCCUCUCCAACCAGAACAACCAGAAAAUGAAAGCCCUCCAGAUACCACUCGCAAAAAUUGUCCACCCAUGUAUUCAUGAGGAACCUGAAGGUUGCGGAUUGCAAAAACCAGUUCCACUGAUUUGUCCCUGUGUCUUCCUGAGGAACAAAUGACUGCUUCUAAGCAGCUCUACUGAAGUAUAGAGAUGGGGAGAAGAGUAAAACGAAAUAGAGAAAGCGUGCAAGCCUGUCAUCUCGAAACGCCGCUGCAAGAUUGGGCACUCAGUUCCGGGUUAUGCAAGUUUACACCAGGGAUAGCGUAAUUGACAAUUGCUAACAACAGAGAGCAGGGUGGAGAGUUGUGAAUGGCCAGUAAUAAUUGGAGCGAACGCCCACUGCGCUGCUCUCGGGGGACCGUAAUCCAAGAUCUUGUUUCUGAUAUAAUUGUUAGUCAGAAAAUUUCUGCAUGGCUAGGCCAGCUCAGUUCCCAAGCUGGUUGACAGUGCAAGGCAGUUUAAUAGAAAAACUGGUUGCUGAGGUUUUUUAAAACAGGCACGCACUGAACCCAUGCGCAGGAGUGUGGCACACACCGUUUUUCCCAUUUCUUUGUUUUGUCAUUCUCAAUCUUAUGUCUUGCAAAAUAAGUGUUUCAAAUGUCAGUGUUGCUCUUUCGUAGGAUUAAGGGAAUGGGACAAAGUUUGAUUAGUACAGUAAAUGCCGCAACUAAACCGUUUUAGAGAAAAAAGCAGUGAGUAUAUGUGUAUUCUGACGAAACUAUUAUAUUUUAGCAUGACAUUAUAUGCAGUGCUGUUCAAAAGUUUGGGGUAC
RNAcentral lists this long non-coding RNA (1525 nucleotides) under Sinocyclocheilus anshuiensis. RNAcentral's name for it is "lncRNA (ENSSANG00000018454.1)". The record is from RNAcentral. Lineage: Eukaryota; Metazoa; Chordata; Actinopteri; Cypriniformes; Cyprinidae.